GAUGAACGCUGGCGGCGUGCUUAACACAUGCAAGUCGAACGAACCUUCGGGUUAGUGGCGGACGGGUGAGUAACGCGUGAGAAUCUGCCCUCAGGAGGGGGAUAACGGCUGGAAACGGCCGCUAAUACCCCAUAUGCCGCGAGGUGAAACGAAUUUCGCCUGAGGAUGAGCUCGCGUCUGAUUAGCUAGUUGGUGGGGUAAAGGCCUACCAAGGCAUCGAUCAGUAGCUGGUCUGAGAGGAUGAUCAGCCACACUGGGACUGAGACACGGCCCAGACUCCUACGGGAGGCAGCAGUGGGGAAUUUUCCGCAAUGGGCGCAAGCCUGACGGAGCAACGCCGCGUGAGGGAUGAAGGCCUCUGGGCUGUAAACCUCUUUUAUCAAGGAAGAAGAUCUGACGGUACUUGAUGAAUAAGCCACGGCUAAUUCCGUGCCAGCCGCCGCGGUAA
This 448-nucleotide ribosomal RNA is filed under the name uncultured bacterium. RNAcentral describes it as "partial 16S ribosomal RNA". It matches the Rfam family "Bacterial small subunit ribosomal RNA", at positions 28 to 523 of the family's 1533-position model. The record is from RNAcentral.